AGAUUGAACGCUGGCGGCAGGCCUAACACAUGCAAGUCGAGCGGCAGCACGGGUACUUGUACCUGGUGGCGAGCGGCGGACGGGUGAGUAAUGCCUAGGAAUCUGCCUGGUAGUGGGGGAUAACGCUCGGAAACGGACGCUAAUACCGCAUACGUCCUACGGGAGAAAGCAGGGGACCUUCGGGCCUUGCGCUAUCAGAUGAGCCUAGGUCGGAUUAGCUAGUUGGUGGGGUAAUGGCUCACCAAGGCGACGAUCCGUAACUGGUCUGAGAGGAUGAUCAGUCACACUGGAACUGAGACACGGUCCAGACUCCUACGGGAGGCAGCAGUGGGGAAUAUUGGACAAUGGGCGCAAGCCUGAUCCAGCCAUACCGCGUGGGGUGAAGAAGGCCUUCGGGUUGUAAAGUCCCUUUUAGGUUGGAAAAGAAAAGCAUUACGGUUAAUAACCCGGUGUUCUGACGGUACCAAAGAAUAAGCACCGGCUAACUCGUGCCAGACAGCCGACGGUAA
Molecule: ribosomal RNA, 509 nt
Filed under: uncultured soil bacterium
Lineage: Bacteria
Description: bacterial SSU rRNA
Rfam family: Bacterial small subunit ribosomal RNA
Source: RNAcentral